RNAcentral lists this ribosomal RNA (253 nucleotides) under uncultured bacterium. RNAcentral's name for it is "partial 16S ribosomal RNA". It matches the Rfam family "Bacterial small subunit ribosomal RNA", at positions 524 to 776 of the family's 1533-position model. The record is from RNAcentral.
UACGUAGGGGGCAAGCGUUGUCCGGAUUUAUUGGGCGUAAAGAGCGUGUAGGCGGCCAUGUAGGUCCGUUGUGAAAACUCGAGGCUCAACCUCGAGACGCCGAUGGAAACCAUGUGGCUAGAGUCCGGAAGAGGAGAGUGGAAUUCCUGGUGUAGCGGUGAAAUGCGCAGAUAUCAGGAAGAACACCCGUGGCUAAGGCGGUUCUCUAGUACGGUACUGACGCUGAGACGCGAAAGCGUGGGGAGCGAACAGG